UCCUGGCUCAGGACGAACGCUGGCGGCGUGCCUAAUACAUGCAAGUCGAGCGGACCGACGGGAGCUUGCUCCCUUAGGUCAGCGGCGGACGGGUGAGUAACACGUGGGUAACCUGCCUGUAAGACUGGGAUAACUCCGGGAAACCGGGGCUAAUACCGGAUGCUUGAUUGAACCGCAUGGUUCAAUCAUAAAAGGUGGCUUUUAGCUACCACUUACAGAUGGACCCGCGGCGCAUUAGCUAGUUGGUGAGGUAACGGCUCACCAAGGCGACGAUGCGUAGCCGACCUGAGAGGGUGAUCGGCCACACUGGGACUGAGACACGGCCCAGACUCCUACGGGAGGCAGCAGUAGGGAAUCUUCCGCAAUGGACGAAAGUCUGACGGAGCAACGCCGCGUGAGUGAUGAAGGUUUUCGGAUCGUAAAACUCUGUUGUUAGGGAAGAACAAGUACCGUUCGAAUAGGGCGGUACCUUGACGGUACCUAACCAGAAAGCCACGGCUAACUACGUGCCAGCAGCCGCGGUAAUACGUAGGUGGCAAGCGUUGUCCGGAAUUAUUGGGCGUAAAGCGCGCGC
This 574-nucleotide ribosomal RNA is filed under the name Bacillus sp. CEL3FAAB. RNAcentral's name for it is "bacterial SSU rRNA". It matches the Rfam family "Bacterial small subunit ribosomal RNA", at positions 17 to 572 of the family's 1533-position model. The record is from RNAcentral. Lineage: Bacteria; Bacillati; Bacillota; Bacilli; Caryophanales; Bacillaceae.